RNAcentral lists this ribosomal RNA (496 nucleotides) under uncultured bacterium. RNAcentral describes it as "partial 16S ribosomal RNA". It matches the Rfam family "Bacterial small subunit ribosomal RNA", at positions 28 to 506 of the family's 1533-position model. The record is from RNAcentral.
GAUGAACGCUGGCGGCGUGCCUAAUACAUGCAAGUCGAGCGAACAGACGAGGAGCUUGCUCCUUUGACGUUAGCGGCGGACGGGUGAGUAACACGUGGGUAACCUACCUAUAAGACUGGGAUAACUUCGGGAAACCGGAGCUAAUACCGGAUAAUAUUUCGAACCGCAUGGUUCGAUAGUGAAAGAUGGCUUUGCUAUCACUUAUAGAUGGACCUGCGCCGUAUUAGCUAGUUGGUAAGGUAACGGCUUACCAAGGCAACGAUACGUAGCCGACCUGAGAGGGGGAUCGGCCACACUGGAACUGGGACACGGGCCAGACCCCUACGGGAGGCAGGAGUGGGGAAUCUUCCGCAAUGGGCGAAAGCCUGCCGGAGCAACGCCGCGGGGGUGAUAAAGGGCUUCGGAUCGUAAAACUCUGUUAUUAGGGAAAAACAAACGUGUAAGUAACUGUGCACGUCUUGACGGUACCUAAUCAAAAAGCCACGGCUAACUACGU